GACAACAUGGUGUAAUGGUUUGAAUGUUGGACUACAACUCUGAAGACCAAGGUUCAAAUCCCAGCUUGGCA
Phrynosoma platyrhinos (Desert horned lizard) is the source of this 71-nucleotide non-coding RNA. NCBI's taxonomy places the organism in Eukaryota, Metazoa, Chordata, Lepidosauria, Squamata, Phrynosomatidae. The record is from the annotation of a GenBank genome assembly.